Long non-coding RNA from Lytechinus pictus (painted urchin), 551 nucleotides. RefSeq lists it as uncharacterized. The record is from RefSeq and is a predicted model, not a curated record. NCBI's taxonomy places the organism in Eukaryota, Metazoa, Echinodermata, Echinoidea, Temnopleuroida, Toxopneustidae. The transcript has 3 exons.
ACAGGCCGCGUGAACAAAUUGGCAGAGUUUUUGUGUCCUGUUUAUUUUCUAGUCUUAAAUCAAUAUGAAGUCCGCGUCAUUCUGUAUAUUCGUGAUAGUGAUUCUGACACUUGGCGUUCACCAAACCACUGGCUCAUAUCCCUCUCCAUAUCCCUCUCCAUAUCCAUCUCCAUAUCCAUCUCCAUAUCCCGCUCCAUAUCCAGCUCCAUAUCCAGCUGCAUAUCAUGGAGAUGCUGCGGCAACAAACCAAGAUGUCGAUGAGGAACUCAUCUCUCCAGUACAUUAGAAUUGUAUACUUCAUGCAGUCAACUGGUGGGAUUGUAAGUCAACAUUGAGAGGGUGCUAUUACUUCUGUGUUAAUUAUCAAUACGGAAUGGCGCUGCUGUCCUGAUCAGAAAUGCUUAACCGAGGAUCAUGCCGUCAACAAAUUAUUAACACAAUCAUACUUCAAUAUCAGGAGAAAAAAAAUCAUGAAAAAUUGAAAACUUUGGAAAAUUAAAGAAAAUUGAUAGGGCUAUCUAACAUUACUCAGUUACUUGGUGAUUAUUUUA